GAUGAACGCUGGCGGCGUGCCUAAUACAUGCAAGUCGAGCGAACAGAUUAGGAGCUUGCUCCUCUGACGUUAGCGGCGGACGGGUGAGUAACACGUGGAUAACCUACCUAUAAGACUGGGAUAACUUCGGGAAACCGGAGCUAAUACCGGAUAAUAUAUUGAACCGCAUGGUUCAAUAGUGAAAGACGGUUUUGCUGUCACUUAUAGAUGGAUCCGCGCCGCAUUAGCUAGUUGGUAAGGUAACGGCUUACCAAGGCAACGAUGCGUAGCCGACCUGAGAGGGUGAUCGGCCACACUGGAACGGAGACACGGUCCAGACUCCUACGGGGGGCAGCAGUAGGGAAUCUUCCGCAAUGGGCGAAAGCCUGACGGAGCAACGCCGCGUGAGUGAUGAAGGUCUUCGGAUCGUAAAACUCUGUUAUUAGGGAAGAACAAAUGUGUAAGUAACUAUGCACGUCUUGACGGUACCUAAUCAGAAAGCCACGGCUAACUACGUG
This 497-nucleotide ribosomal RNA is filed under the name uncultured bacterium. RNAcentral's name for it is "partial 16S ribosomal RNA". It matches the Rfam family "Bacterial small subunit ribosomal RNA", at positions 28 to 507 of the family's 1533-position model. The record is from RNAcentral.